RNAcentral lists this ribosomal RNA (435 nucleotides) under uncultured bacterium. RNAcentral describes it as "partial 16S ribosomal RNA". It matches the Rfam family "Bacterial small subunit ribosomal RNA", at positions 29 to 507 of the family's 1533-position model. The record is from RNAcentral.
AGCGAACGCUGGCGGCAGGCUUAACACAUGCAAGUCGAGCGGGCACUUUCGGGUGUCAGCGGCGGACGGGUGAGUAACGCGUGGGAACGUGCCCUCUGGUUCGGAAUAACUCAGGGAAACUUGAGCUAAUACCGGAUACGCCCUUUUGGGGAAAGGCUUGCUGCCGGAGGAUCGGCCCGCGUCUGAUUAGCUAGUUGGUGAGGUAACGGCUCACCAAGGCGACGAUCAGUAGCUGGUCUGAGAGGAUGAUCAGCCACACUGGGACUGAGACACGGCCCAGACUCCUACGGUAGGCAGCAGUGGGGAAUAUUGGACAAUGGGCGCAAGCCUGAUCCAGCCAUGCCGCGUGAGUGAUGAAGGCCUUAGGGUUGUAAAGCUCUUUUAUCCGGGACGAUAAUGACGGUACCGGAGGAAUAAGCCCCGGCUAACUUCGUG